Molecule: ribosomal RNA, 261 nt
Filed under: uncultured bacterium
Lineage: Bacteria
Description: partial 16S ribosomal RNA
Rfam family: Bacterial small subunit ribosomal RNA
Source: RNAcentral
UACGGAGGGUGCAAGCGUUUAUCCGGAUUCACUGGGUUUAAAGGGUGCGUAGGCGGGCAGGUAAGUCCGUGGUGAAAUCUCUGAGCUUAAACUCAGAAACUGCCAUGGAUACUAUUUGUCUUGAAUAUUGUGGAGGUAAGCGGAAUAUGUCAUGUAGCGGUGAAAUGCUUAGAUAUGACAUAGAAACACCAAUUGCGAAGGGCAGCUUACUACACAGUUUAUUGACGCUGAGGCACGAAAGCGUGGGGGAUCAAAACAGGG